CAGUGUUCAUGCGCAGUUGUUACAGAACCAUGCCGGGUUUGUGUAAUCUGCACUGGACGGAUGUUUCUGAGAUUAAGGAUGUUGUAGCACUUUCCAAUGGCCAAAACACUGGCUCUGAGGCUGCAUUUGCUUAGGAAUUUGGGAGCCCAAGUCCUUCCAUCGCUGGUAGUGUGUCUGGGUAAGCGUCUAUGCUUUCCCUGUCUUAGGACGUCCAGUGUUUACUCUCUCAGUCAAAGAGGUGUAUGUACCACAACACGAGACCCACUUUUCCUUGUCGCUGGACCUGUUCGCCCUUAUCAAGAGCUCCUAGCCAGUGGAAGAUGUCUAUCUUGGUUGCACCACCUGACUUCCGAUGAGGAUCGCACAUUUACAACCCGCUUGUCCUCCUGUACAACAUCCCAGCAAGUUCUACGUCUUCUGCGAUCUCACCCUGAGCUCUCGGGUGCAGCAUCAGCUUCUGUCCUGCACCGAUUGGCUGACUUGGAACAGGAUGGCACCUGUGGUCUUGGGAACCCACAAGUCCUAUUGUCAGACGUGGCCUUGAACAAACUUUGUCACAGACUUGAGCAAGAGUCCACCGCGUUGGAGGAUGAAGUGGUGGUUCAAGCUCUGGUGGGCUGUACACGACUCUACCUUGACCCUUGGAGUCGCCUGGUGGUAAGGCUGGUGUCCGAGAGUCAGGAGAGGCUGGACUCGGGACGGUUAAGUGUUGAAGCACUCUGUGGGUUAACAAGGGCUUUAUUUGCAUUGGAAGGGCCUGACUGUGGAAUGCUAAAACAGGCUACGACGCAGCUUCAAAAUAAAGACCCGGCACAAUGGAACGCAACACAGCUAGUGGCUGUUUAUCGCAUGCUAGCAUCUGGUUUGGGUGAGGAUGGACGCUACCUUGAGCUUCUGAAUGAAAUGAAUGCUCAAGCACUCCGAUUAGCGCACAGGAUGGACCCAGUUGCAGUUAGUGAGAUUUUAGGUGCUCUAGUCAAGCUGGGAGAGAUGCAAGCAGUGCCACUAGUUAUUGCGCUCUGCAAGCAAGCUGUCCGUCAUGUGCAAAACUUUUCAGAUGCAGAACUGACUGUAGUUUUGUCUGCACUUAUGCACUACGGACACAGCGAUCACUUUCUCAUGGAAGCUCUUGAGCGCCACGUGCCUAAGAUCACCUUCAAUGCUCAAGCAGAAACAGUAACCAAGGUGAUGCAGUAUUUCGGGCGACGACGCAUUCUUUCUCCGCCUGUUUUCAAUGCAGUGGCUGAAAGUUUCAUGUACCGUGCGGAGGAGUACUCCACGUGGCAGGUGUCACAACAGAUAGUCGCACUGGGAGUUUUGGGAUACGUGCCGCCUGACGCGGGGAGAUUGUUCCGAAAGGUGGAGUCGGUAUUGCAUGCCCGAUUUUCGCAAUUUCAGCCCAAAGCUCUUCUAGAUCUACUGCACGCCUGUACUCUGCUACAGAGGUACCCCCUGAACUUCGUCUCAAAAGUCUUCAGCCCUUACUUCAUGCAGCAGCUACAGGCUGAAACGUGCAGCGGAAUGGAUCGCACAGUGCUCGCUCAGCUCACCCAACUCUACAUGACUGUGAAGCUGGAGUGUCCAUUCUAUGAUGGUCCAUGGCUGUCACACAAGUUUCGUGUAAAGUCAUUUUUGGCCCCAGGACAGUCUCUGGAGACUCCGGUGGAAUCUCAACUGGACAAUGCUGUGAAAUCUGGACUAGUGGAUCUGCUGGGAGCUCGAUCUUACUUUGCUUCUAGAGUACUCACUUCGUAUUGCUAUUCACUAGGUAUAUCAUAAAUCCUGCAAGUAAAGUUUGGUUAUAAAAGUCUAUUACAGAACUGCUCGCGCUAACACAAAAAACCUUUUUGUCAGUUUGUUAUUAUACACUACCUACUCAAUCUUUUUGACAAUUUUCCACAAUUUAUUCUACAGAAUUAAUUACAAGCAUUAGGGUUAGCCUAAUGCUUGUCACCCUAACCCCUAGAUCUAAAGGUUUUUAAGAUCAUGAGAAACCAAAUCCAGUCUGGUAAUGAAUCUCUGUGAUUGCAUAUGACAGAUUAUUCUGAAUCGUCUGUCUCUCUCUUCAGAUGUUGAGAUAAAACUAGAUGAGGAAGGUUAUGUGCUGCCUGCUCGCCAUAUAGAUGAAGUCCACAAGAGAAUCGCUGUCUGUAUUGAUGGGCCAAAGCGCUUUGCUGCAAAUGCAAAACAGCUUCUGGGCAAGGAAUCUAUUAAGCAACGGCAUCUGAGGAUUCUGGGAUAUGAUGUUGUUCAGAUUCCAUAUUAUGAGUUUGAGAAACUCAAGGACAGAAAAGAAGUUGUGGAAUAUCUUCACAAGAAGAUCUUCCCUCACAGCUACAGACUCAGCUGGUGACUAUUGGAUCACCAAAUCCUAUCCCACAUCUAACUUCUAUUUCUCAGUCUACAGUCAAUGCAUUCAAUGGACUUAACGGGUCGACAAUUUUUCCCCACAUACAAAAACAUUUGAGUUUUAGAUUUAUUUGUAGCUUUUUAAAUCCUGAGGCUGUUGCACAGUUGUUUUAAAUGUAAAUUGCUAUGUAAAUUAUCAUAAUAAAAGCACUACAUAAUC
RNA transcript from Myxocyprinus asiaticus (Chinese sucker), 2569 nucleotides. It is a transcript of the gene named FAST kinase domain-containing protein 3, mitochondrial-like, with no coding region annotated. Lineage: Eukaryota; Metazoa; Chordata; Actinopteri; Cypriniformes; Catostomidae. The record is from RefSeq and is a predicted model, not a curated record. The transcript is spliced from 6 exons.